AGCAGUAGUACAGUGGCAGUAUCAUAACCAAUGAAGUUAAUCUGAGGUAUGAUUAUUGCUAGUUGAAAAUAUUCUCUCUCUCUCUC
This 86-nucleotide small nuclear RNA is filed under the name Gopherus agassizii (Agassiz's desert tortoise). RNAcentral describes it as "U4 spliceosomal RNA (ENSGAGG00000009092.1)". It matches the Rfam family "U4 spliceosomal RNA", at positions 1 to 85 of the family's 138-position model. Rfam says of the family: U4 small nuclear RNA (U4 snRNA) is a component of the major U2-dependent spliceosome. Lineage: Eukaryota; Metazoa; Chordata; Testudines; Testudinidae. The record is from RNAcentral.